AGCGAACGCUGGCGGCAGGCCUAACACAUGCAAGUCGAACGAACUCUUCGGAGUUAGUGGCGGACGGGUGAGUAACACGUGGGAACGUGCCUUUUGGUUCGGAAUAACUCAGGGAAACUUGUGCUAAUACCGAAUGUGCCCUUCGGGGGAAAGAUUUAUCGCCAUUAGAGCGGCCCGCGUCUGAUUAGCUAGUUGGUGAGGUAACGGCUCACCAAGGCGACGAUCAGUAGCUGGUCUGAGAGGAUGACCAGCCACACUGGGACUGAGACACGGCCCAGACUCCUACGGGAGGCAGGAGUGGGGAAUCGUGCGCAAUGGGCGAAAGCAUGACGCAGCCAUGCCGGGUGAAUGAUGAAGGUCUUAGGAUAGUAAAAUUCUUUCACCGGGGACGAUAAUGACGGUACCCGGAGAAGAAGCCCCGGCUAACUUCGUG
RNAcentral lists this ribosomal RNA (433 nucleotides) under uncultured bacterium. Its description in RNAcentral is "partial 16S ribosomal RNA". It matches the Rfam family "Bacterial small subunit ribosomal RNA", at positions 29 to 507 of the family's 1533-position model. The record is from RNAcentral.